GACGAACGCUGGCGGCGUGCUUAACACAUGCAAGUCGAACGGAAAGGCCCUGCUUUUGUGGGGUGCUCGAGUGGCGAACGGGUGAGUAACACGUGAGUAACCUGCCCUUGACUUUGGGAUAACUUCAGGAAACUGGGGCUAAUACCGGAUAGGAGCUCCUGCUGCAUGGUGGGGGUUGGAAAGUUUCGGCGGUUGGGGAUGGACUCGCGGCUUAUCAGCUUGUUGGUGGGGUAGUGGCUUACCAAGGCUUUGACGGGUAGCCGGCCUGAGAGGGUGACCGGCCACAUUGGGACUGCGAUACGGCCCAGACUCCUACGGGCGGCAGCAGUGGGGAAUAUUGCACAAUGGGCGGAAGCCUGAUGCAGCAACGCCGCGUGCGGGAUGACGGCCUUCGGGUUGUAAACCGCUUUCGCCUGUGACGAAGCGUGAGUGACGGUAAUGGAUAAAGAAGCACCGGCUAACUACGUG
This 468-nucleotide ribosomal RNA is filed under the name uncultured bacterium. RNAcentral describes it as "partial 16S ribosomal RNA". It matches the Rfam family "Bacterial small subunit ribosomal RNA", at positions 28 to 507 of the family's 1533-position model. The record is from RNAcentral.